CCCUUAGAUGUCCUGGGCCGCACGCGCGCUACACUGACAUGUUCAACAAGCCUCCUAGUUCGACAGGAUUUGGGAAAUCUUUGAACGCAUGUCGUGAUAGGGAUAGAUCAUUGCAAUUAUUGAUCUUGAACGAGGAAUUCCCAGUAAGUGCGGGUCAUCAGCUCGCGUUGAUUACGUCCCUGCCCUUUGUACACACCGCCCGUCGCUGCCCGGAACUGAGCCGUUUCGAGAAGACUGAGGAUUGCUGACUUGAGGCCUUCACGGGCUUCUAGUCGGUGAAAAUCAAUUUAAUCGCAGCGGCUUGAACCGGGCAAAAGUCGUAACA
Molecule: ribosomal RNA, 325 nt
Filed under: uncultured eukaryote
Lineage: Eukaryota
Description: partial 18S ribosomal RNA
Rfam family: Eukaryotic small subunit ribosomal RNA
Source: RNAcentral